UCUUAGUUUUCCAUAGAUUCACCUGCAAGUUACCUGUCCAUUUAAACUUUUGGCAGUUCUAUUGUCCCAUCUAACAAAUACAACAGGUAUUGUUCUCUGUGUAGUUUAUUCACUGGGACCUUUACAUUUCUUCCAAGAGAAAUAUAUCACUCAUUGAUUAAUUUACCUGAACAAAAAAUUGAACUGUCAAUGAAGAAAAAAUACUUAUACCAAUACUAAGUAAGGACUCACAAAACUGCAUGUGGUGUUUUAUUUAUUCGAUACCUGGAGUAACUCGUUUUUAAUGUGUUCAAUCUUACAUUUGUAAUACUGAUUCAAAAAUUAAAAGUUGAUUUCUGAUCAAAUAUUCAAUAUUUUUGUGUGUUUGAUAAAUAAAAAUUUGAAUAUUAUUAUUUUUAAAUUAAGGUCUUCAUAAACAUAAGUCUAUAAAUGAACAACAACAAAAACAUGUAAAUUCAUUGGAAAAUACUAAAAAAUGUGUCUGAAAUAAACUUUUUAGUAUUAAACCAGAUUUUAUAUUGAACAGAUUGAAAAUAUAUUAAUGAUAAUAUUGAAUAAAUACAAUAUUGCAUACAGUUUAUGUGAGUUAUUAGAAGUAUUUCAAU
Molecule: long non-coding RNA, 605 nt
Filed under: Mytilus galloprovincialis (Mediterranean mussel)
Lineage: Eukaryota; Metazoa; Mollusca; Bivalvia; Mytilida; Mytilidae
Source: RNAcentral